AUUGAGCGCUGGCGGCAGGCUUAACACAUGCAGGUCGAGCGGAGCGAGGGUGCUUGCACCUUAGCUUAGCGGCGGACGGGUGAGUAAUGCUUAGGAAUCUGCCUAUUAGUGGGGGACAACAUUCCGAAAGGGAUGCUAAUACCGCAUACGCCCUACGGGGGAAAGCAGGGGAUCUUCGGACCUUGCGCUAAUAGAUGAGCCUAAGUCGGAUUAGCUAGUUGGUGGGGUAAAGGCCUACCAAGGCGACGAUCUGUAGCGGGUCUGAGAGGAUGAUCCGCCACACUGGGACUGAGACACGGUCCAGACUCCUACGGGAGGCAGCAGUGGGGAAUAUUGGACAAUGGGCGGAAGCCUGAUCCAGCCAUGCCGCGUGUGUGAAGAAGGCCUUUUGGUUGUAAAGCACUUUAAGCGAGGAGGAGGCUACUAGUAUUAAUACUACUGGAUAGUGGACGUUACUCGCAGAAUAAGCACCGGCUAACUCUGUGCCAGCAGCCGCCGUAA
This 501-nucleotide ribosomal RNA is filed under the name uncultured bacterium. Its description in RNAcentral is "partial 16S ribosomal RNA". It matches the Rfam family "Bacterial small subunit ribosomal RNA", at positions 30 to 523 of the family's 1533-position model. The record is from RNAcentral.